Molecule: ribosomal RNA, 875 nt
Filed under: Pezicula cinnamomea
Lineage: Eukaryota; Fungi; Ascomycota; Leotiomycetes; Helotiales; Dermateaceae
Description: LSU rRNA
Rfam family: Eukaryotic large subunit ribosomal RNA
Source: RNAcentral
AUUACCUCAGUAACGGCGAGUGAAGCGGUAACAGCUCAAAUUUGAAAUCUGGGCCUUUCAGGCUCCGAGUUGUAAUUUGUAGAAGAUGCUUUGGGUGCGGCCCCGGUCUAAGUUCCUUGGAACAGGACGUCAUAGAGGGUGAGAAUCCCGUAUGUGAUCGGUGGCUUGCGCCCGUGUAAAGCUCUUUCGACGAGUCGGGUUGUUUGGGAAUGCAGCUCUAAAUGGGUGGUAAAUUUCAUCUAAAGCUAAAUAUUGGCCAGAGACCGAUAGCGCACAAGUAGAGUGAUCGAAAGAUGAAAAGCACUUUGGAAAGAGAGUUAAACAGUACGUGAAAUUGUUGAAAGGGAAGCGCUUGCAACCAGACUUGCGCGGGGUUGAUCAUCCGGGGUUCUCCCCGGUGCACUCGGCCCCGCUCAGGCCAGCAUCGGUUUUGGUGGUUGGAUAAAGGCCUUGGGAAUGUGACUUCUUUCGGGGAGUGUUAUAGCCCUCGGUGCAAUGCAGCCUACCGGGACCGAGGACCGCGCUUCGGCUAGGAUGCUGGCGUAAUGGUUGUAAGCGACCCGUCUUGAAACACGGACCAAGGAGUCUAACAUCUAUGCGAGUGUUUGGGUGUCAAACCCAUGCGCGUAAUGAAAGUGAACGGAGGUGAGAACCCUUAAGGGCGCAUCAUCGACCGAUCCUGAUGUCUUCGGAUGGAUUUGAGUAAGAGCAUAGCUGUUGGGACCCGAAAGAUGGUGAACUAUGCCUGAAUAGGGUGAAGCCAGAGGAAACUCUGGUGGAGGCUCGCAGCGGUUCUGACGUGCAAAUCGAUCGUCAAAUUUGGGCAUAGGGGCGAAAGACUAAUCGAACCAUCUAGUAGCUGGUUCCUGCCGAAG